UACAGAGGGGGCAAGCGUUGUUCGGAAUUACUGGGCGUAAAGGGCGCGUAGGCGGCCAACUAAGUCAGACGUGAAAUCCCUCGGCUUAACCGGGGAACUGCGUCUGAUACUGGAUGGCUUGAGGUUGGGAGAGGGAUGCGGAAUUCCAGGUGUAGCGGUGAAAUGCGAAGAUAUCUGGAGGAACACCGGUGGCGAAGGCGGCAUCCUGGACCAAUCCUGACGCUGAGUGAGCGAAAGCCAGGGGAGCAAACGGG
Molecule: ribosomal RNA, 254 nt
Filed under: uncultured bacterium
Lineage: Bacteria
Description: partial 16S ribosomal RNA
Rfam family: Bacterial small subunit ribosomal RNA
Source: RNAcentral